This 452-nucleotide ribosomal RNA is filed under the name uncultured bacterium. RNAcentral's name for it is "bacterial SSU rRNA". It matches the Rfam family "Bacterial small subunit ribosomal RNA", at positions 354 to 796 of the family's 1533-position model. The record is from RNAcentral.
GUGAGGAAUAUUGCGCAAUGGGGGAAACCCUGACGCAGCGACGCCGCGUGAGUGAUGAAGGCCUUCGGGUUGUAAAGCUCUGUCAGAGGGAAAGAAAGGGGAUGCGGAAUAAUACCCGCAGCCAUUGACGGUACCCUCGGAGGAAGCACCGGCUAACUCCGUGCCAGCAGCCGCGGUAAUACGGAGGGUGCAAGUGUUAUUCGGAAUCACUGGGCGUAAAGAGCACGUAGGCGGAUGGGUAAGUCAGAUGUGAAAUCCCGGGGCUCAACUUCGGAACUGCAUUUGAUACUGCCCGUCUUGAGUGUGGUAGAGGGGGAUGGAAUUCCCGGUGUAGAGGUGAAAUUCGUAGAUAUCGGGAGGAACACCAGAGGCGAAGGCGAUCCCCUGGGCCAUUACUGACGCUGAGGUGCGAAAGCGUGGGGAGCAAACAGGAUUAGAAACCCCAGUAGUCC